UACGUAGGGUGCAAGCGUUGUCCGGAAUUAUUGGGCGUAAAGAGCUCGUAGGCGGUCUGUCGCGUCGGCUGUGAAAACUCGGGGCUCAACUCCGAGCUUGCAGUCGAUACGGGCAGGCUAGAGUUCGGCAGGGGAGACUGGAAUUCCUGGUGUAGCGGUGAAAUGCGCAGAUAUCAGGAGGAACACCGGUGGCGAAGGCGGGUCUCUGGGCCGAAACUGACGCUGAGGAGCGAAAGCGUGGGGAGCAAACAGG
RNAcentral lists this ribosomal RNA (253 nucleotides) under uncultured bacterium. Its description in RNAcentral is "partial 16S ribosomal RNA". It matches the Rfam family "Bacterial small subunit ribosomal RNA", at positions 524 to 776 of the family's 1533-position model. The record is from RNAcentral.